AUGAAAAAUUGUUCCAAACCCAGAAAUCACUUAAUUCUAAACCGACUUAUCGACAUCCAUACCAAAUUAUUAAUGACAAAACAAGCUAAAUUUACUUUAAAAGCAAUUAAUUCAAUAAGCUAUUUUUUUCAAAUGAAGAAAAAUCAAGAUGAGAAAGCAUACAAACAUAUGUUUGGAAAAGGAAAGGAAGUUACCUUAAAAAAAUUUCAGCGCCGACUAUUGAGAAAUUUGUGUCCGUUCAAACUAAGGUUAUGA
Non-coding RNA from Vicia faba (fava bean), 255 nucleotides. NCBI's taxonomy places the organism in Eukaryota, Viridiplantae, Streptophyta, Magnoliopsida, Fabales, Fabaceae. The record is from the annotation of a GenBank genome assembly.